GGGGCCAUAGCUCAGUUGGGAGAGCGCUUGCAUGGCAUGCAAGAGGUCGCGAGUUCGAGUCUCGCUGGCUCCA
This 73-nucleotide transfer RNA is filed under the name Phycisphaerae bacterium. RNAcentral describes it as "tRNA-Ala". It matches the Rfam family "tRNA". From Rfam's summary of the family: Transfer RNA (tRNA) molecules are approximately 80 nucleotides in length. Their secondary structure includes four short double-helical elements and three loops (D, anti-codon, and T loops). Lineage: Bacteria; Pseudomonadati; Planctomycetota; Phycisphaerae. RNAcentral also lists the same sequence under 2 other names. The record is from RNAcentral.